UCUAUGUCUCUGUUCAUUCUUAUGAUUGCCUCUUAAACCCCAAAAUGAUACAUGUAUUUUGAAUUCACAACAAUUUAGAGUUUAGUAAAUUACCCUGUUUGUGCUCAUUCCUAUUUACAACCUGACACGUUAACAGUUACCAGCUUGGCUUGUUGUUUGACCCUGUCUGCUCUGAUAUUUAGACUGAACUGAUACUGAACCUGACCCUGGGACCUUCUACUGAAAGUGAUCCCGAGCUGCUUGUCUUGAGCACUAACCUGUCUGACUACCCUACA
Molecule: non-coding RNA, 275 nt
Organism: Pelobates cultripes (western spadefoot toad)
Lineage: Eukaryota; Metazoa; Chordata; Amphibia; Anura; Pelobatidae
Source: the annotation of a GenBank genome assembly